CCUACGGGUGGCAGCAGUGGGGAAUAUUGGGCAAUGGAGGCAACUCUGACCCAGCAACGCCGCGUGAAUGAUGAAGGUCUUCGGAUUGUAAAGUUCUGUGAUGGGGGAUGAACACAAUGCCGGUACCCCAAUAGCAAGCCACGGCUAACUACGUGCCAGCGGCCCCGGUGAUACGUAGGUGGCAAGCGUUAUCCGGAAUGACUGGGCUUAAAGGGUGCGUAGGUGGUUUAGUACGUUGGCGGUGUACGUCCGGGGCUCAACCGCGGCGCUACCGCCAAAACUAGUAGACUAGAGUGCAGGGGCGGUAAGUGGAAUUCCUAGUGUAGCGGUGGAAUGCGUAGAUAUUA
This 347-nucleotide ribosomal RNA is filed under the name uncultured bacterium. RNAcentral describes it as "partial 16S ribosomal RNA". It matches the Rfam family "Bacterial small subunit ribosomal RNA", at positions 338 to 699 of the family's 1533-position model. The record is from RNAcentral.